AUUGAACGCUGGCGGAAUGCUUUACACAUGCAAGUCGAACGGCAGCACGGACUUCGGUCUGGUGGCGAGUGGCGAACGGGUGAGUAACAUAUCGGAACGUAUCCAAUAAUGGGGGAUAACGAGUCGAAAGAUUCGCUAAUACCGCAUACGCCCUACGGGGGAAAGCUGGGGACCUUUGGGCCUGGCGUUAAUGGAGCGGCCGAUAUCUGAUUAGCUAGUUGGUGAGGUAAAGGCUCACCAAGGCGACGAUCAGUAGCUGGUCUGAGAGGACGACAAGCCACACUGGAACUGAGACACGGGCCGGACUCCUACAGGAGGCAGCAGUGGGGAAUUUUGGACAAUGGGCGCAAGCCUGAUCCAGCCAUUCCGCGUGAGUGAAGAAGGCCUUCGGGUUGUAAAGCUCUUUCGCAAGGGAAGAAAACUUAGCCACUAACAUUGGUUGAGGUUGACGGUACCUUGAUAAGAAGCACCGGCUAACUACGUGCCAGCAGCCGCCGUAA
RNAcentral lists this ribosomal RNA (500 nucleotides) under uncultured bacterium. RNAcentral's name for it is "partial 16S ribosomal RNA". It matches the Rfam family "Bacterial small subunit ribosomal RNA", at positions 30 to 523 of the family's 1533-position model. The record is from RNAcentral.